GAUGAACGCUGGCGGCGUGCCUAAUACAUGCAAGUCGAGCGCUGAAGGGAGGUACUUGUUCCUAUUGUGUUAGCGGCGGACGGGUGAGUAACGCGUGGGGAAUCUGCCUUUGAGCGGGGGACAACUUCUGGAAACGAAUGCUAAUACCGCAUAAAAUCUUUAAACACAAGUUUUAAGAUUGAAAGACGCACUUGCAUCACUCAAUGAUUAUCCCGCGUUGUAUUAGCUAGUUGGUAAGGUAAAGGCUCACCAAGGCGAUGAUACAUAGCCGACCUGAGAGGGUGAUCGGCCACACUGGAACUGAGACACGGUCCAGACUCCUACGGGAGGCAGCAGUAGGGAAUCUUCGGCAAUGGGCGAAAGCCUGACGGAGCAACGCCGCGUGAGUGAUGAAGGUCUUCGGAUCGUAAAACUCUGUUGUUAGGGAAGAACAUAUGUGUAAGUAAAAGUGCACAUCUUGACGGUACCUAACCAGAAAGCGACGGCUAACUACGUG
RNAcentral lists this ribosomal RNA (496 nucleotides) under uncultured bacterium. RNAcentral describes it as "partial 16S ribosomal RNA". It matches the Rfam family "Bacterial small subunit ribosomal RNA", at positions 28 to 507 of the family's 1533-position model. The record is from RNAcentral.